Molecule: ribosomal RNA, 473 nt
Filed under: uncultured bacterium
Lineage: Bacteria
Description: partial 16S ribosomal RNA
Rfam family: Bacterial small subunit ribosomal RNA
Source: RNAcentral
AGCGAACGCUGGCGGCAGGCCUAACACAUGCAAGUCGAACGAACUCUUCGGAGUUAGUGGCGGACGGGUGAGCAACACGUGGGAACGUGCCUUUUGGUUCGGAAUAACUCAGGGAAACUUGUGCUAAUACCGAAUGUGCCCUUCGGGGGAAAGAUUUAUCGCCAUUAGAGCGGCCCGCGUCUGAUUAGCUAGUUGGUGAGGUAACGGCUCACCAAGGCGACGAUCAGUAGCUGGUCUGAGAGGAUGACCAGCCACACUGGGACUGAGACACGGCCCAGACUCGUAGGGGAGGAAUCGGGGGGGAGUCUUGCGCAGGGGGAGAACGCCUGACGCAGCCAUGCCGCGUGAGUGAGGAGGGGCUUAUGAUUUAAAAAUUGUGGCGGGGAGACUGAGAAGGACGGCACGCGGAGAAGACGCCCCGGAGAACUCCGAGGCAGCAGAGGCGGUAAUAGUCGAGGAGCAGACGUCGGAGC